RNAcentral lists this ribosomal RNA (406 nucleotides) under uncultured bacterium. RNAcentral's name for it is "bacterial SSU rRNA". It matches the Rfam family "Bacterial small subunit ribosomal RNA", at positions 29 to 417 of the family's 1533-position model. The record is from RNAcentral.
AGCGAACGUUAGCGGCGGGCCUAACACAUGCAAGUCGAACGAGAAUAGGGGAGCAAUCCCCUUAGUAAAGUGGCGGACGGGUGCGUAACACGUGGGUGAUCUACCUUCCGGCGGGGGACAACAGUCCGAAAGGAUUGCUAAUACCGCGUACGUCAGCGAGGUCUCCGGACCUUGCUGGGAAAGAUGGCCUCUCUUUAGAAGCUGUCACCGGAAGAUGAGCCCGCGGCCCAUCAGCUAGUUGGGAGGUAACGGCUCACCAAGGCUAAGACGGGUAGCUGGUCUGAGAGGAUGAUCAGCCACACUGGGACUGCGACACGGCCCAGACUCCUACGGGAGGCAGCAGUGGGGAAUAUUGGGCAAUGGGCGAAAGCCUGACCCAGCCACGCCGCGUGAGUGAUGAAGGCCU